GAUGAACGCUGGCGGCAGGCCUAACACAUGCAAGUCGAGGGGCAUCGCGGUGCAGCAAUGCACUGGCGGCGACCGGCGUACGGGUGCGUAACGCGUAUGCAACCUGCCCCGCACCGGGGGAUAGCCCGCCGAAAGGCGGAUUAAUACCCCAUGGUCCCGGGGGCCCGCAUGGGCAUCCGGGUAAAGCCUUGGCGGUGCGGGAUGGGCAUGCGUGCCAUUAGCUGGCUGGUGGGGUAACGGCCCACCAGGGCAACGAUGGCUAGGGGGUCUGAGAGGAUGGUCCCCCACACUGGUACUGAGACACGGACCAGACUCCUACGGGAGGCAGCAGUGAGGAAUAUUGGUCAAUGGGCGGAAGCCUGAACCAGCCAUGCCGCGUGCGGGAUGAAGGCCCUACGGGUUGUAAACCGCUUUUCCCCGGGAAGAAUAACCCCGAUGAGUCGGGGAUGGCCGGUACCGGGGAAUAAGGAUCGGCUAACUCCGUGCCAGCAGCCGCGGUAACAUACUCGUA
RNAcentral lists this ribosomal RNA (511 nucleotides) under uncultured bacterium. RNAcentral describes it as "bacterial SSU rRNA". It matches the Rfam family "Bacterial small subunit ribosomal RNA", at positions 28 to 533 of the family's 1533-position model. The record is from RNAcentral.